RNAcentral lists this ribosomal RNA (1815 nucleotides) under Dermacentor andersoni. RNAcentral's name for it is "small subunit ribosomal RNA". It matches the Rfam family "Eukaryotic small subunit ribosomal RNA". Lineage: Eukaryota; Metazoa; Arthropoda; Arachnida; Ixodida; Ixodidae. The record is from RNAcentral.
UACCUGGUUGAUCCUGCCAGUAAUCAUAUGCUUGUCUCAAAGAUUAAGCCAUGCAUGUCUAAGUACAUGCCGAAAUAAGGCGAAACCGCGAAUGGCUCAUUAAAUCAGUUAUGGUUCCUUAGAUCGUUUCUUCCUACAUGGAUAACUGUGGCAAUUCUAAAGCUAAUACAUGCAGUGAGCCUGAAGCCCUUUGGGCGACGGAUGCUUUUAUUAGACCAAGAUCGAUUGGGUUUCGGCCCGUAUUGUGUGGUGACUCUGGAUAACUUUGUGCUGAUCGCAUAGCCACGAGCCGGCGACGUUUCUUUCAAGUGUCUGCCUUAUCAACUUUCGAUGGUAGGUUACUUGCUUACCAUGGUUGUUACGGGUAACGGAGAAUCAGGGUUCGAUUCCGGAGAGGGAGCCUGAGAAACGGCUACCACAUCCAAGGAAGGCAGCAGGCGCGCAAAUUACCCACUCCCGGCACGGGGAGGUAGUGACGAAAAAUAACAAUACGGGACUCUUUUGAGGCCCCGUAAUUGAAAUGAGUACAAUCUAAAUCCUUUAACGAGGAUCAAUUGGAGGGCAAGUCUGGUGCCAGCAGCCGCGGUAAUUCCAGCUCCAAUAGCGUAUACUAAAGCUGCUGCGGUUAAAAAGCUCGUAGUUGGAUCUCAGUUCCAGACGAGUAGUGCAUCUACCCGAUGCGACGGCUCGGACUGAACAUCAUGCCGGUCCUUUCUUGGUGGACUUCAUUGUGUGCCUCGAGAAGGCCGGUGCUUUUACUUUGAAAAAAUUAGAGUGCUCAACGCAGGCGAGUCGCCUGAAUAAACUUACAUGGAGUAAUAGAAGAAGACCUCGUUUCUGUUCUGUUGGUUUUUGGAAUACGAGGUAAUGAUUAAGAGGGACAGACGGGGGCAUUCGUAUUGCGGCGCUAGAGGUGCAAUUCUUGGACCGUCGCAAGACGAACUACUGCGAAAGCAUUUGCCAAGAAUGUUUUCUUUGAUCAAGAACGAAAGUCAGAGGUUCGCAGGCGAUCAGAUACCGCCCUAGUUCUGACCAUAAACGAUGCCAACCAGCGAUCCGCCUGAGUUACUCAAAUGACUCGGCGGGCAGCUUCCGCGAAACCAAAGUGUUUGGGUUCUGGGGGAAGUAUGGUUGCAAAGCUGAAACAUAAAGGAAUUGACGGAAGGGCACCACCAGGAGUGGAGCCUGCGGCUUAAUUUGACUCAACACGGGAAAACUUACCCGGCCCGGACACUGGGAUGAUUGACAGAUUGAGAGCUCUUUCUUGAUUCGGUGGAUGGUGGUGCAUGGCCGUUCUUAGUUGGUGGAGCGAUUUGUCUGCUAAAUUCCGAUAACGAACGAGACUCUAGCCUAUUAAAUAGGUGCGGGGUUCCCAGCACCUUACAACCUCCUUAGAGGGACAAGCGGCUCCUAGCCGCACGAAACAGAGCAAUAACAGGUCUGUGAUGCCCUUAGAUGUCCGGGGCCGCACGCGCGCUACACUGAAGGAAGCAGCGUGUCUUUAUCCCUGUCUGAAAAGACUGGGUAAACCGUGGAACUUCUUUCGUGAUUAGGAUAGGGGCUUGCAAUUGUUCCCCUUGAACGAGGAAUUCCCAGUAAGCGCGAGUCAUAAGCUCGCGUUGAUUACGUCCCUGCCCUUAGUACACACCGCCCGUCGCUACUACCGAUUGAAUGAUUUAGUGAGGUCUUCGGACCGAUGUCCGGCGCGGCCUUUCGGUUGCGCCGGUCUGUUGGAAAGAUGACCAAACUUGAUCAUUUAGAGGAAGUAAAAGUCGUAACAAGGUUUCCGUAGGUGAACCUGCGGAAGGAUCAUUA